UACGGAGGGGGUUAGCGUUGUUCGGAAUUACUGGGCGUAAAGCGCACGUAGGCGGACUUUUAAGUCGGGGGUGAAAUCCCAGGGCUCAACCCUGGAACUGCCUCCGAUACUGGAAGUCUUGAGUUCGAGAGAGGUGAGUGGAAUUCCGAGUGUAGAGGUGAAAUUCGUAGAUAUUCGGAGGAACACCAGUGGCGAAGGCGGCUCACUGGCUCGAUACUGACGCUGAGAUGCGAAAGUGUGGGGAGCAAACAGG
This 253-nucleotide unclassified non-coding RNA is filed under the name uncultured Paracoccaceae bacterium. Its description in RNAcentral is "uncultured Rhodobacteraceae bacterium contains 16S-23S intergenic spacer region". It matches the Rfam family "Bacterial small subunit ribosomal RNA", at positions 524 to 776 of the family's 1533-position model. The record is from RNAcentral. Lineage: Bacteria; Pseudomonadati; Pseudomonadota; Alphaproteobacteria; Rhodobacterales; Paracoccaceae.